This is a non-coding RNA of Acanthosepion pharaonis, 107 nucleotides long. The record is from the annotation of a GenBank genome assembly. Lineage: Eukaryota; Metazoa; Mollusca; Cephalopoda; Sepiida; Sepiidae.
UUACAGCCAUAUCAUGUUGAAACACCGGCUCCCGUACGAUCACCGAAGUUAAGCAACGUCGAGUCUGUACCUAGAUGAAUGAUCGCUUGAGAAUACCACGCGCUGCU